GCAGUCGAACGGCAGCGCGGGGGCAACCCUGGCGGCGAGUGGCGAACGGGUGAGUAAUACAUCGGAACGUGUCCUGGAGUGGGGGAUAGCCCGGCGAAAGCCGGAUUAAUACCGCAUACGCUCUGAGGAGGAAAGCGGGGGAUCUUCGGACCUCGCGCUCAAGGGGCGGCCGAUGGCAGAUUAGCUAGUUGGUGGGGUAAAGGCCUACCAAGGCGACGAUCUGUAGCUGGUCUGAGAGGACGACCAGCCACACUGGGACUGAGACACGGCCCAGACUCCUACGGGAGGCAGCAGUGGGGAAUUUUGGACAAUGGGGGCAACCCUGAUCCAGCAAUGCCGCGUGUGUGAAGAAGGCCUUCGGGUUGUAAAGCACUUUUGUCCGGAAAGAAAACCUCCGUCCUAAUACGGUGGGGGGAUGACGGUACCGGAAGAAUAAGCACCGGCUAACUACGUGCCAGCAGCCGCGGUAAUACGUAGGGUGCAAGCGUUAAUCGGAAUUACUGGGCGUAAAGCGUGCGCAGGCGGUUCGCUAAGACCGAUGUGAAAUCCCCGGGCUUAACCUGGGAACUGCAUUGGUGACUGGCGGGCUAGAGUAUGGCAGAGGGGGGUAGAAUUCCACGUGUAGCAGUGAAAUGCGUAGAGAUGUGGAGGAAUACCGAUGGCGAAGGCAGCCCCCUGGGCCAAUACUGACGCUCAUGCACGAAAGCGUGGGGGAGCAAACAGGGAUUAGAUACCCUGGUAGUCCACGCCCUAAACGAUGUCAACUAGUUGUCGGGUCUUCAUUGACUUGGUAACGAAGCUAACGCGUGAAGUUGACCGCCUGGGGGAGUACGGUCG
RNAcentral lists this ribosomal RNA (837 nucleotides) under Burkholderia sp. Its description in RNAcentral is "bacterial SSU rRNA". It matches the Rfam family "Bacterial small subunit ribosomal RNA", at positions 57 to 888 of the family's 1533-position model. The record is from RNAcentral. Lineage: Bacteria; Pseudomonadati; Pseudomonadota; Betaproteobacteria; Burkholderiales; Burkholderiaceae.